Molecule: long non-coding RNA, 200 nt
Filed under: Elaeis guineensis (African oil palm)
Lineage: Eukaryota; Viridiplantae; Streptophyta; Magnoliopsida; Arecales; Arecaceae
Description: long non-coding RNA (EGUI_LNC007888)
Source: RNAcentral
AGUCUAGCAAGAAUUGGCACAGUGCACAGCCACCAUGUGUGGUUAGAGAACACAUGAGAGAGAGAGGUACCGAAAGAGAGAACGAUGGAGUGAUGGCAAUGAAUGCAAACAGCGGCGACUGUGGAGUGAUGACAAUGGAGGUGCAGCGACGGCAACGACGAUGGAUCUACAGGAAAAAGGACCGUCAGAGAGAGAAAGAG